GAGUUUGAUCAUGGCUCAGAUUGAACGCUGGCGGCAGGCCUAACACAUGCAAGUCGAGCGGUAGAGAGAAGCUUGCUUCUCUUGAGAGCGGCGGACGGGUGAGUAAUGCCUAGGAAUCUGCCUGGUAGUGGGGGAUAACGCUCGGAAACGGACGCUAAUACCGCAUACGUCCUACGGGAGAAAGCAGGGGACCUUCGGGCCUUGCGCUAUCAGAUGAGCCUAGGUCGGAUUAGCUAGUUGGUGAGGUAAUGGCUCACCAAGGCGACGAUCCGUAACUGGUCUGAGAGGAUGAUCAGUCACACUGGAACUGAGACACGGUCCAGACUCCUACGGGAGGCAGCAGUGGGGAAUAUUGGACAAUGGGCGAAAGCCUGAUCCAGCCAUGCCGCGUGUGUGAAGAAGGUCUUCGGAUUGUAAAGCACUUUAAGUUGGGAGGAAGGGCAGUAAAUUAAUACUUUGCUGUUUUGACGUUACCGACAGAAUAAGCACGGCUAACUCUGUGCCAGCCG
Molecule: ribosomal RNA, 509 nt
Filed under: uncultured bacterium
Lineage: Bacteria
Description: bacterial SSU rRNA
Rfam family: Bacterial small subunit ribosomal RNA
Source: RNAcentral